AAAAGCAUCACGUUCAGUUUUUAGAAGACAGAAAUUUGGAAAUGUGGAAAAGCGAUAAAAGGGAUGGAUCAAAGAUAUGGUCAUUUAAAAUAAAAGGAUAUGAAACAUUCAUGGUAAUGGCUUGUUCAAGUAAGUAAUCGAAGGAAGAGUUGAAGAUAAAACAUCUAAGAAAAGCAAAA
This is a long non-coding RNA of Xenia sp. Carnegie-2017, 179 nucleotides long. RefSeq lists it as uncharacterized. The record is from RefSeq and is a predicted model, not a curated record. Lineage: Eukaryota; Metazoa; Cnidaria; Anthozoa; Malacalcyonacea; Xeniidae. The transcript has 3 exons.